RNAcentral lists this ribosomal RNA (236 nucleotides) under uncultured bacterium. Its description in RNAcentral is "partial 16S ribosomal RNA". It matches the Rfam family "Bacterial small subunit ribosomal RNA", at positions 100 to 334 of the family's 1533-position model. The record is from RNAcentral.
CGGGACGGGUGAGUAACGCGUGGGUAACCUGCCUCAUACAGGGGGAUAACAGUCAGAAAUGACUGCUAAUACCGCAUAAGACCACAGUACUGCAUGGUACAGUGGUAAAAACUCCGGUGGUAUGAGAUGGACCCGCGUCUGAUUAGGUAGUUGGUGAGGUAACGGCCCACCAAGCCGACGAUCAGUAGCCGACCUGAGAGGGUGACCGGCCACAUUGGGACUGAGACACGGCCCAG